CAAGGAGUUUGAUUCAAGACUUGGUUUGCGCAAUUUGAGCCCGAAUCGAGAGAAAACUUGACUGAAAUGGUUCGGCACCGUCGCAGCAACUUUUUCGGCCAUUCACACCGUUUUCAGCAACUUGAGGCUUCAAGUUGGAUUUUCCGACCACCGCGCACGGUGGUCGGUGGCGGCAAUCCAGUGACCGGCCAAGAUGCUCCGGCAAGGCUCCAGAGGCAGAAUCUUCUCCUCUUCAUGUUGAUGUCAAAUAUUUAAUCCAAUUUUUCAUUGGUAAUAGGAGGAAAGAAGAGCCCUAUAUACCCGACCGAGUCGAAAUACAAAUAUAUUAAAAUUACUAAUAGCUGUAUUAAGCAUGUAAAUGAAAAGGACUGUAAUUUAUAGAGUUUCGCAAUUGUAUUCUAAAUGGGUUGUAAUUGAAUAAUAUGGGU
This is a long non-coding RNA of Jatropha curcas, 428 nucleotides long. RefSeq lists it as uncharacterized. Lineage: Eukaryota; Viridiplantae; Streptophyta; Magnoliopsida; Malpighiales; Euphorbiaceae. The record is from RefSeq and is a predicted model, not a curated record.